GAUACUUGUUUAUGAUGCGAUGGAGGGACGGAGAAGGUUAUGUCAGCCUGGCGUUGGUUGUCCAGGUGGAAGGAUGUAGGUAGGUUUAGUAGGCAAAUCCGCUAGACUAUUACUGAGAUCUGAUAGCAAGCUAGUUUGACUAGUGAAGUGGCAAAUACCCUGCUUCCAGGAAAAGCUUCUAAGCGAUAGUCAUAAAGAAAUCG
Molecule: ribosomal RNA, 203 nt
Filed under: Moraxella caprae
Lineage: Bacteria; Pseudomonadati; Pseudomonadota; Gammaproteobacteria; Moraxellales; Moraxellaceae
Description: partial 23S ribosomal RNA
Rfam family: Bacterial large subunit ribosomal RNA
Source: RNAcentral